GGAGCAUUAACAGGAAGCUGCAUAUAGUUUGGUCCAAUACGGUGUCUCUGAGUAUCAGCAUACGCGAAUAUCCUUGUCUGGAGAAGCUUAUCCUCCGAAUAGUAAAGACCAGGGACAAUAUGGCCAGGGUUAAACGCGAGCUGCUCGUUCUCAGCAAAGAAGUUAUCGAUAUUCCUGUUAAGUACCAAUCGACCAACUGGCAUCAAUGGCAAGAUAUCCUCAGGCCAGGUCUUGGUUACAUCAAGAGGAUCAAAGUCGAAUUUGUCUACAUCCUCAGUGUCCAUAAUUUGGAUAAAGAGUUUCCACUCAGGAUAGUUUCCAGCCGCAAUUGAAUCGUAGAGAUCCUUGGUGGCGUGGCUAUGAUUUGUACCUCCGACCCUAAUAGCCUCUUCCUCCGACAUGCACUUUACACCACAAGUUGGCUUCCAGUGAAACUUGACAUAAUGUGCUUUCCCCGCCUUGUUGAUUAAUUGAUAGGCGUGAACACCAUAACCUUCCAUGUGUCUGUAAUCUGUCGGGAGACAAACAUCAUCGAAGAACCAGGCAAACGUAUGCAAACUCUCCGGAAGGAAAGAGAAGAAAUCAAGGAUCCUCCAGUAUUCCUGAAUGUGUGACUUUGGAUUUGGUUUCAGUGCACGGAUCGUGUCAGGGAACGAUUUUGCAUCACGAUUAAAGAAGACGGGGACGUUGUUUCCAACCAGAUCAAAGUUACCCUGAUCCAUAAAAACAAGAUAUAUACAUAAGUACAACAACAACAACAAGGUGGGGUCUGGGGAGGGUAGUGCGUACACAGAUCAUAUCCCUACUCCGGAGGAGUGGAAAGGCAAGAUACAUACACAAGUAAAUUAAGAAAAUACAAUUGAACAAAUACAUUCCUAGAAAGCAGUAAGUUCAUGUGAUGGGGCAAAUUACCUCUCUGGUGUAAAAUUUGACAGCAAAACCGCGAAUGUCCCUGAGGGACUCGGGGCUUCCACGCUCAUGGACGACAGUAGAGAAACGGACAAUAACAGGUGUUUGAACCCCAGGAGCUCGGAGAAAAUCAGCACAGGUAAGAUGAGAAAUAUCAUGAGUGACUUCAAAGAAACCUUUGGCACUGGCACCUCUAGCAUGAACAACACGCUCAGGUAUCCGCUCACGAUCAAAAGUCGCGAGCUUCUCAAUUAAGUGAUAAUCC
This 1174-nucleotide long non-coding RNA is filed under the name Nicotiana benthamiana. RNAcentral's name for it is "long non-coding RNA (NBEN_LNC019166)". The record is from RNAcentral. Lineage: Eukaryota; Viridiplantae; Streptophyta; Magnoliopsida; Solanales; Solanaceae.